GCUGAGGCUAGGCCUCUUCCUGCUCGACAUGCUGCUGGUGGUGUUUGUGCUGUGGUUAUGCUGUUGGAAUUAAAGUGGUGAUCCUGGAGCAUUGUGUGGUUCCCCAUUAGAAGCUGUUGCCUAACAAAGCGUGGUUGAAUGUCUGCUGCUGUUUUUUUCCACCCUUUGCUUAGCCCCUUUUGUUAGAUGGUUUUUGCCCCUUUUGCUCCCUCUUUAGUGUUUAUUUUUGUUCUUUAGUUCACUUUAGUGUUCUUUUGAUUCUUUAGCAUUAGCCUUUUGUUAUUUUGGGUUGUUUGGUUCUCUUUUGCAUUGAGUUUGCUUUAGCUAAUAGUUUGGUUGCAUUUCAUUAGUUGAGUAAUAUUAUUCCUUAGUCAUUUGAAUUAUUUUUGCUUUGACCAACUGGGUUUAAUUUGUUUUAGGUUAUUAAUUCUGUUUUGUUUUCUAGAGUAGGUGUCUCCUAGUUGGGAGGCUAGGCACCCAGGGUGAGGGCUUCCACCUACUGCAUGCAAGUGUAGAGCACUGGGCUACAAGCAGGCUACACCUUAGUUUGUUUGAGGAUUGUUGUGGUGUUUGAUGUGCUGCACGAUGAGUGAGAAAUAGUUAGCACCCCCACACCUCCCUUAGUGUAGUCUGCCUCUCAGCUAGUGGCAUCAGCUCCACUUUUGGUUGACUUAUUUUCAGUUAGGGCAGCAGCUAUAGUUUUAAUGCUUUUAAUCAUUUAUACUAGGCUUUAAUCAUUGUUAAAAUAAAGAAUAAUUUUAAUUCACUUCAUUAGUUGAGUUUUACUUAUCUA
Cheilinus undulatus (humphead wrasse) is the source of this 793-nucleotide long non-coding RNA. RefSeq lists it as uncharacterized. The transcript is spliced from 3 exons. The record is from RefSeq and is a predicted model, not a curated record. NCBI's taxonomy places the organism in Eukaryota, Metazoa, Chordata, Actinopteri, Labriformes, Labridae.